UGCAAGUCGAACGAGCGAGAGAGAGCUUGCUUUCUCAAGCGAGUGGCGAACGGGUGAGUAACGCGUGAGGAACCUGCCUCAAAGAGGGGGACAACAGUUGGAAACGACUGCUAAUACCGCAUAAGCCCACGACCCGGCAUCGGGUAGAGGGAAAAGGAGCAAUCCGCUUUGAGAUGGCCUCGCGUCCGAUUAGCUAGUUGGUGAGGUAACGGCCCACCAAGGCGACGAUCGGUAGCCGGACUGAGAGGUUGAACGGCCACAUUGGGACUGAGACACGGCCCAGACUCCUACGGGAGGCAGCAGUGGGGAAUAUUGCACAAUGGGGGAAACCCUGAUGCAGCGACGCCGCGUGGAGGAAGAAGGUCUUCGGAUUGUAAACUCCUGUUGUUGAGGAAGAUAAUGACGGUACUCAACAAGGAAGUGACGGCUAACUACGUGCCAGCAGCCGCGGUAAAACGUAGGUCACAAGCGUUGUCCGGAAUUACUGGGUGUAAAGGGAGCGCAGGCGGGAAGACAAGUUGGAAGUGAAAUCCACGGGCUCAACCCAUGAACUGCUUUCAAAACUGUUUUUCUUGAGUAGUGCAGAGGUAGGCGGAAUUCCCGGUGUAGCGGUGGAAUGCGUAGAUAUCGGGAGGAACACCAGUGGCGAAGGCGGCCUACUGGGCACCAACUGACGCUGAGGCUCGAAAGUGUGGGUAGCAAACAGGAUUAGAUACCCUGGUAGUCCACACUGUAAACGAUGAUUACUAGGUGUUGGAGGAUUGACCCCUUCAGUGCCGCAGUUAACACAAUAAGUAAUCCACCUGGGGAGUACGACCGCAAGGUUGAAACUCAAAGGAAUUGACGGGGGCCCGCACAAGCAGUGGAGUAUGUGGUUUAAUUCGACGCAACGCGAAGAACCUUACCAAGUCUUGACAUCCUGCGACGCA
Molecule: ribosomal RNA, 929 nt
Filed under: uncultured bacterium
Lineage: Bacteria
Description: bacterial SSU rRNA
Rfam family: Bacterial small subunit ribosomal RNA
Source: RNAcentral